UCGGGGCGUAGCGCAGUCUGGUAGCGUACUUGUCUGGGGGACAAGGGGUCGCAGGUUCAAAUCCUGCCGUUCCGACCAC
Molecule: transfer RNA, 79 nt
Filed under: Candidatus Nitrosopumilus salarius BD31
Lineage: Archaea; Thermoproteati; Nitrososphaerota; Nitrososphaeria; Nitrosopumilales; Nitrosopumilaceae
Description: Candidatus Nitrosopumilus salaria BD31 tRNA-Pro
Rfam family: tRNA
About the family: Transfer RNA (tRNA) molecules are approximately 80 nucleotides in length.
Source: RNAcentral